Molecule: ribosomal RNA, 399 nt
Filed under: uncultured bacterium
Lineage: Bacteria
Description: bacterial SSU rRNA
Rfam family: Bacterial small subunit ribosomal RNA
Source: RNAcentral
AUAUUGGACAAUGGGGGGAAACCCUGAUCCAGCCAUGCCGCGUGAGUGAUGAAGGCCUUAGGGUUGUAAAGCUCUUUCGCUAGGGAAGAUAAUGACGGUACCUAGACAAGAAGCCCCGGCUAACUUCGUGCCAGCAGCCGCGGUAAUACGAAGGGGGCUAGCGUUGUUCGGAAUUACUGGACGUAAAGCGCACGUAGGCGGGCCGGCCAGUCAGGGGUGAAAUCCCAGAGCUUAACUCUGGAACUGCCCUUGAUACUGCCGGUCUUGAGGAUGAGAGAGGUGAGUGGAACUGCGAGUGUAGAGGUGAAAUUCGUAGAUAUUCGCAAGAACACCAGUGGCGAAGGCGGCUCACUGGCUCAUUUCUGACGCUGAGGUGCGAAAGCGUGGGGAGCAAACAGG